This 474-nucleotide long non-coding RNA is filed under the name Anas platyrhynchos platyrhynchos (common mallard). RNAcentral's name for it is "lncRNA (ENSAPLG00000026653.1)". Lineage: Eukaryota; Metazoa; Chordata; Aves; Anseriformes; Anatidae. The record is from RNAcentral.
UGCAUAUACAGACAUUGCAAUGCAACAGUGUGCUUCAGCAGCUCUAAUUUGAUUUACAGUCUUAGUUUUCAAUAUAAAUCCUAAGAUUCAUUGUUUUAAUAGGUGAGAGCAAUCCAAGAAGUACAUCAGAAACAGAAAAAAAUGUGAGGAUGACCAGAUGCAAGCUGAAUCUCUUCUUGUUGGUGCUACAGCAGCCUUGGGCACGCUUAAUAAGGUUCCUGUUCCUGUGAUGGAGGGCCUGGACCCAAUUGCCACAUUGACGGAUGAUGCUACGACUACAGGAUGAAGUAACGAGGGACUGCCUGCUGAUCGGAUGUCAGCAGAAAAUGCCACAAUUAAAACACACUGCAAGUGCUGUUUUUUUAUGAUAGAUCACCAGCAAGAGGGAAUUAAAUAGAUAAAGACUAAAUACAGAGCUGACCUUAAAGUCAUACAUGUAGGACAGAAAGGGUAUGUGCAUGCUGAAGGAUUGUC